AAUCAACGCUGGCGGCGUGCCUAACACAUGCAAGUCGAACGCGAAAGGGGAGCAAUCCCUGAGUAGAGUGGCAAACGGGUGAGUAACACGUGGGUGACCUGCCUUCGAGUGGGGGAUAACGUUCCGAAAGGAACGCUAAUACCGCAUGACAUCCUGCUUUUGGAAAAGCGGAGAUCAAAGCUGGGGAUCGCAAGACCUGGCGCUUGAAGAGGGGCCCGCGCCUGAUUAGCAGUUGGUGGGGUAAUGGCUCACCAAGGCUACGAUCAGUAUCCGGCCUGAGAGGGCGGACGGACACACUGGGACU
RNAcentral lists this ribosomal RNA (304 nucleotides) under uncultured bacterium. RNAcentral describes it as "bacterial SSU rRNA". It matches the Rfam family "Bacterial small subunit ribosomal RNA", at positions 32 to 320 of the family's 1533-position model. The record is from RNAcentral.